CUUCUUUCAAAGGUGGAUUGUGAGCUUAAAUAAACGGUGACCCCAUAUUUUUAUUUAACUUUUCCAUUAAGUAAAGGAUAAAGUUUAUUUAUAGAAAAAAAUAGCGAAAUGCUAUAUUUAAAAAAAAAAUGAUUUAGACCUGUGAGCCCCCUUAAAUAUAUGAUCACGACGAUGGGCAGUUAUUUAAUGACCAGUAUCAUUGCACACAGAGUUAUUUGAGAUUGCUUUCUCCACGAUUGAUUCAAUAAUAUGGGUGACGAUUCUCCAUUCCUCAGAAUAAGUUAAAAAAAAAUUUAGUAAGGGAUAAAUAAUUUAAAGAUUCUUACAAGGACUCAGUUCUGCCAUUUGUAAAAUCUUGACCCAUUGCUUUGGUUACAUUAACGUUAAUGUAAGUGACCUAGAAUGCCCCAGUAGUUACUAUUGCAUUUUGAUUGAUGCUCUUUUUAAUGCGAAAGUUUCUUCCUUAAAAUUACAAAUUGAACAAUAAAUUAGUAAAUUACGCAAAAUAAAUCAUUAUUUUCGGUAAAUAAAGCACUUGACAGCCGGGCUAAUAGGGUUGGUAAGGCAUAGUUUUUUAAUAAAUAAUUUGGUUUUCCUUCAAAUUGGAUUUUUCAAACGCUGAGGAAAAUUGAAUUGGGUUUUCUAUCGUUUUAAUUGCGUAAUUUAUGCAAAAACACAGCUUAUCAGGAGCUCUGGAUAUAUUUUUAUUUAUUAUUGGCAUUUUCUU
RNAcentral lists this long non-coding RNA (727 nucleotides) under Mytilus galloprovincialis (Mediterranean mussel). Lineage: Eukaryota; Metazoa; Mollusca; Bivalvia; Mytilida; Mytilidae. The record is from RNAcentral.